Anthonomus grandis grandis is the source of this 797-nucleotide long non-coding RNA. RefSeq lists it as uncharacterized. The record is from RefSeq and is a predicted model, not a curated record. The transcript is spliced from 3 exons. Lineage: Eukaryota; Metazoa; Arthropoda; Insecta; Coleoptera; Curculionidae.
CAAGAAGAGAGUUUAUUGGCCAAAGAAUUAGGAGAAGUAGACCAAUAUAAUCGCCCCUGUAUCACUGUUGUGGCUGAUGGUGCUUGGAGCAAAAGGUCUUAUAAUGUUAAUUAUGAUGCUGCUUCAGGAGUUGCUUGUAUAAUUGGACAGAGGACCGGAAAACUUUUAUUUCUUGGAAUCCGAAAUAAAUACUGCAGCUUUUGUGCAUACGCCAGUGCCAAAAACAUGGAAGUCAUUCCAGAUCAUACAUGUUAUAAGAACUGGUCAAAUACAUCCACAAGUAUGGAAUCCGACAUAAUUGUGGAAGGAUUUCGAAAAAGUAUUGACAUGUAUAAUAUUAUUUAUAAAAGACUUGUUGGGGAUGGUGACAGUAGCGUCUAUAAAAAACUGAUCGAGGCUCGCCCAUAUGGAAGUUUACAUGUGGAGAAAAUUGAGUGCAGGAAUCAUUUAUUAAGAAAUUUUUGCUCCAAAUUGCGUGAAAUAUCUAGUAAAAAAAGAAGCAACAGUACAAAUAAUCCGGUUUCACCAUACCUGCGCAAACAUAUUUUGAACAAUAUACGAAGGAUGAGAACUGCUGUUGCAAUGGCUGUUACUCAAAGAAAUAAAGAAGAUAAAAGCUUUAGUAUUAAAAUAGAAAAUCUUACUAAAGAUUUAAAAAAUAUACCAUCCCACGUAUUUGGAGAGCAUCUAAACUGUACAGCCAUAGGAUAUUUUAGAUGUGAUAAAAAGUUUGGAGAAAAAAAUUAUAUUGAAGAAAUGAAGGCAUGUGGGGUUUUGCAAGACAUUGAAGUUUGUCU